This 3588-nucleotide long non-coding RNA is filed under the name Homo sapiens (human). RNAcentral describes it as "HSALNT0388870". Lineage: Eukaryota; Metazoa; Chordata; Mammalia; Primates; Hominidae. The record is from RNAcentral.
AGAGGCAGAAAUGGAGGUUGGGUCAGGCCUGGCUCAGACCCUAGGCUCUGUCACUGACUGGCUGUGUGGGUCCAGGAAAGUCCUUGUCCUCUCUGGGCCUCAGUUUCCUCUGAAGAAUGGGAGUGAUAAGCUAUGCCCCAUCUCCUUCACCAAAAGGAAGCAAGACCUGAUGGAGCUGCUGGGUAACUGGAGAUGCCUCCUGCUGGCUCCUUUCUGGGGUCCCUGCCUAGCCCUGUCCUCUCCUCUUACUUUCUGCCCUGGCUGAGUAGGCUGUGGCCAUGUGGUUACUGCCUUCUCUGGGCAUAGCUGAUUGCUUCAUAUGGCCUGACCUAAGGCUGCAUGUCCAAAGUCUGGUUGGUGGCCAGUCUAACUCACUUUUGAGAACCUGCACUAAAAGAGGUAGGGGGUGGGAAAAACUGGGCAGGCCAGCGGAGGUGGGGAGUGGCAGCUCUGAGACCUGAAGCCUCAGAACCAGCUCUCCUCCUCCUCUUCCUCCUCAAGAUGGACCUCAACUCACUGAACUCUGGUUCACUCUUUUGGUCCCAGAGCUAAUUCUUUGGUUGUUUAAGGUUUAGCAUAGGAGACCCCAAAGCAGCAAGGUUCUGGCCCUGGUUCUGCCACUUGCCAGCUCCACGCCCUCAGAUCAGUGGCUUCAGAGCCUCAACGUGCUCAGCUGUGAAACAGGGACAGGGUGAGGCCUUCCCAGGUAUGAUCCACUGUGCCCAUCCUGGAUGCAGACUUUAAGCAGAGUCACAUCAACAAGAAGAGCUGUGAAGGUCAGGGCAUGACCCACAGAUGCCCAAACACUGCACUGGAGGUCCAGGAAGAUUCUGCUGACAACGCAACCCUGAGCCAAGAUCUGAAGGAUAAGAGGGAGCUUAUAACAUGGAAGAAGGAACAGUAUUCCUGGCAAGUGGAACAGCAUGUGCAAAGGUCAGGUGGUAAGAGGGGCUUCAAGGACAGUCCUAUGGCUGGAGCAGAGUGAUUGAGGGCAUGUGAAAUGAGAGGUGGCCAGGGUGGCAGGCAGGGACUAGCCCAAUGGCCGUGAAAGGGAUGGGACUUUGGUCACUGUUUCGCAUUUCCAGAUGUUUACUAUGUGCCAGGCUUGGUACUAAAUGCUUUUCUGGAAUAUCUCACUAGAUUCUCACAUAGAUGAAGGGCUUGAUCUUAGAGAGGUUAGAUCCCUCAGCCGAGAGCCCACAGUGAGGAAGCCAUGGGGCCUGUGUCCCUGACUGCAAGACCUGUGCUCAGAACGGCCAGGCCACACAGACCUCAACUCUCACUACAACCUCCUGAAGUCGGUGUGGUUACUCUUCCCACUUUACAGAUGAGGACAUGGGCCCAGAGAGGUUAUGUGAGUGACACAGCUUGAAGGUGGAGUUAAGCCUGGGCAGUCUGGCUUCAGAGUGUCCACAGUCUCAACCACUGCCUCACAUGGCUUCUUAGAAAAUAUUAUAAAAAGAAGCUCGGGCUGCCAUGUGGAAAAGAAUGGAGAGGGGACAAUGACACAGCUGGGAGCAUGCUGUGAUGGUGUACAGCGGACACAUUCAGGAUGAGGUGAAACAGGCUGGCCCUGGUGAGAGGCUAGAUGGGGCUGGGAUGAGGGUGGAGACAAGUAGUCUUGGGGUUGGCUUGGUGCAGCUGGGGGGUGCGGGGAGUGUCUCUGAGGUGAGGCCGGGGGUAUGGGAACGCCAUGUUUGGUCUGGGACACGGUGGGCUUGGGAUGGCUACAGGACAGUGCAGUGGAGAGUCAAAAAGGCUGCUCGGACCCAGGUCUGGCGAGAUGGAAGCUGGAGGUCAGGUGAGCUGUCUAGGAGAGGGACAGAGUGGGAAGGAGAGGGUCUCGACUCGGCUUUCUUGCCAAAGGAGGGUUCCGAAAUGAGAAACUGUGGAAUCUAAGCUGGAGAGGAAGAAAGACGGAGAAUGAGUGAACGCACACGUGUGGGACAGAUAGAUGAAUAUUCAUGUCUUUGGCUCCUAUGUACCUGAGUCUUCUAAAGCUGCAGGCCAUACUACCCCCGGGAGGCUGCAGGGAUGCCAGCUGGGAGAUGAAUGCAACUCUGCUGCCUGGGCAUGGGCCUGAGUGAGGGUGCAGACCCCUGCCUGUGAUCAUCAGGGAGGGUGAUGAGAACAAGGUGGCUGACAGGCUGCAGGAUCCCUUGCUCGCUCUCUCACAAGCAAAUGUAGACUGCGCAACCAUCCUGACCACAGAUCCAGAAAGCCCAGGACAUAACAGAGCCGCAGUGCCUGCCCUGAUCCACGCGCACACAGAUCUAGCCCAGGAACAAGCCCAUCCACGGUGAGGAACUUGUGGCCCAGUGGCUGGAGCCUCUCACCUGAGCCCUCACUGCCUGAGGACCCCCAGCCUCUGGCCUCAUUUCCCACCCUUUGCCAGCCAGCCUUGGGGACAAAACAGGUCUGGAUCUAAUCCAAGGUCUGGACUCACCCUGACACCCUGUGAACUCAAGGCCUUCCCUACCUCACCCUGGGCCCAGAGCCCCUACCUGUAAAGUGGAAGUGGGAAUGGCCACCAGCCAGGCAGAAACCCUCACUUAGGGCCUCAUGGCCAGGCAUCAGGACAGUCAGGAGAGGGGCCGAGGUAAGCCACAGAGGCCCUGCCUGUCUUGGUAUCCCACCAUCGCCAGGAGGGGACUGCAUGGGCAUCACACCCCUCACAGAUGAACAAAGUGAGGCAGAGAAGGGCCUCAAGAUGAGUUAGGGGCGAGGCCCCAGCUCUGCUGCUGCCCCUUCCCUUAUCACCCCUGCAGCCUGGGAUGCGAGGGUGGCCAGUGACAGACCCCAAGGACUCUAGGCUAAGGUCUCCUUACCUGCGUUCUGUGGCCUGCUCCCCGCCUGCAUGCCGCCUCAUGGGGGUCCUCUGGCUGGCCCAGGAGCACGGUUGGCCCAGCAGAGCAGCUCAGUGUUAUGGGGAAGGGAGGCCCAGCCCACCACGCCGACCGCCUGGGGCCCUAUGUAUAUUUAAUGAUGUCUAUUAUUCCUGUUUUGUCUCUGGAAAGGAGUGAGCAGCUGACAGGGGAGCCACGAACAGCCUGGAGAGCUGAGCAUGGGCCUGCUCCACACUCCAGCGGGGCCCGAGGCCCCCGGGAACUCUACCCCUCCUGGCAGCCUCACAGAACCUGCUGCAUCCAUCUCAAAAGGCAUACCUCCUCCAGGAAGCCUUCCCCGCUGCUCAGAGGUCUUAAAUCCGGGGUCUGCACUCACAAACUGUGCAGCCUACACCAGCUUCUGGGGGACAGCAGAACACUGUGGGGGGCCUGGCACAGUCCCUGGCACACGGUAGGCACUCAUCGAGCCCCUGCCAGCCCCUCUACUCCUGACUUCUGAGGCAACAGGAAAUGACCCGCCACCUUGUUCUCACAGAGCCUCCCUGCCAGCCCAGAUGGUCACAAGGGCCUCCUGGGAUGCUGCCCACCUUGGCAGCCAGGCCCCUCCGGAGGGGCCAGUCUGGGCCUGACACCCCCGAACACCAACCCCCUGGGCAGAGCCUGCCUGUGCCUGGGUGAGGAACCCUGCAGUCUCCUUGCCACACAAGGCCUGGGUCUGCCUUGGGGCCCAGGCUGCACCCUC